This 1483-nucleotide ribosomal RNA is filed under the name metagenome. Its description in RNAcentral is "bacterial SSU rRNA". It matches the Rfam family "Bacterial small subunit ribosomal RNA". The record is from RNAcentral.
AGAGUUUGAUCCUGGCUCAGGAUGAACGCUGGCGGCGUGCUUAACACAUGCAAGUCGAACGAAGCACUCUAUUUGAUUUUCUUCGGAAAUGAAGAUUUUGUGACUGAGUGGCGGACGGGUGAGUAACGCGUGGGUAACCUGCCUCAUACAGGGGGAUAACAGUUGGAAACGACUGCUAAUACCGCAUAAGCGCACAGGAUCGCAUGAUCCGGUGUGAAAAACUCCGGUGGUAUGGGAUGGACCCGCGUCUGAUUAGCCAGUUGGCAGGGUAACGGCCUACCAAAGCGACGAUCAGUAGCCGACCUGAGAGGGUGACCGGCCACAUUGGGACUGAGACACGGCUCAAACUCCUACGGGAGGCAGCAGUGGGGAAUAUUGCACAAUGGGGGAAGCCCUGAUGCAGCGACGCCGCGUGAGCGAAGAAGUAUUUCGGUAUGUAAAGCUCUAUCAGCAGGGAAGAAGAAUGACGGUACCUGACUAAGAAGCACCGGCUAAAUACGUGCCAGCAGCCGCGGUAAUACGUAUGGUGCAAGCGUUAUCCGGAUUUACUGGGUGUAAAGGGAGCGCAGGCGGUGCGGCAAAUCUGAUGUGAAAGCCCGGGGCUCAACCCCGGUACUGCAUUGGAAACUGUCGUACUAGAGUGUCAGAGGUAGGCGGAAUUCCCGGUGUAGCGGUGGAAUGCGUAGAUAUCGGGAGGAACACCAGUGGCGAAGGCGGCCUACUGGGCACCAACUGACGCUGAGGCUCGAAAGUGUGGGUAGCAAACAGGAUUAGAUACCCUGGUAGUCCACACCGUAAACGAUGAUUACUAGGUGUUGGAGGAUUGACCCCUUCAGUGCCGCAGUUAACACAAUAAGUAAUCCACCUGGGGAGUACGACCGCAAGGUUGAAACUCAAAGGAAUUGACGGGGGCCCGCACAAGCAGUGGAGUAUGUGGUUUAAUUCGACGCAACGCGAAGAACCUUACCAAGUCUUGACAUCCUGCGACGAUGCUAGAAAUAGUAUUUUCCUUCGGGACGCAGAGACAGGUGGUGCAUGGUUGUCGUCAGCUCGUGUCGUGAGAUGUUGGGUUAAGUCCCGCAACGAGCGCAACCCUUAUGGUCAGUUACUACGCAAGAGGACUCUGGCCAGACUGCCGUUGACAAAACGGAGGAAGGUGGGGAUGACGUCAAAUCAUCAUGCCCUUUAUGACUUGGGCUACACACGUACUACAAUGGCGUUAAACAAAGAGAAGCAAGACCGCGAGGUGGAGCAAAACUCAGAAACAACGUCCCAGUUCGGACUGCAGGCUGCAACUCGCCUGCACGAAGUCGGAAUUGCUAGUAAUCGUGGAUCAGCAUACCACGGUGAAUACGUUCCCGGGCCUUGUACACACCGCCCGUCACACCAUGAGAGCCGGGGGGACCCGAAGUCGGUAGUCUAACCGCAAGGAGGACGCCGCCGAAGGUAAAGCUGGUGAUUGGGGUGAAGUCGUAACAAGGUA